Molecule: ribosomal RNA, 376 nt
Filed under: uncultured bacterium
Lineage: Bacteria
Description: bacterial SSU rRNA
Rfam family: Bacterial small subunit ribosomal RNA
Source: RNAcentral
UACGUAGGUGGCGAGCGUUGUCCGGAAUUACUGGGUGUAAAGGGCGUGUAGGCGGGAAGAUAAGUCAGAUGUGAAAUACCGGGGCUCAACCCCGGGGCUGCAUUUGAAACUAUCUUUCUUGAGUGCAGGAGAGGAAAGUGGAAUUCCUAGUGUAGCGGUGAAAUGCGUAGAUAUUAGGAGGAACACCAGUGGCGAAGGCGACUUUCUGGACUGUAACUGACGCUGAGGCGCGAAAGCGUGGGGAGCGAACAGGAUUAGAUACCCUGGUAGUCCACGCCGUAAACGAUGGAUACUAGGUGUUGGGGGUAUCGACCCCCCCAGUGCCGCAGCUAACGCAAUAAGUAUCCCACCUGGGGAGUACGGCCGCAAGGUUGAA